This 508-nucleotide ribosomal RNA is filed under the name uncultured bacterium. RNAcentral's name for it is "partial 16S ribosomal RNA". It matches the Rfam family "Bacterial small subunit ribosomal RNA", at positions 28 to 523 of the family's 1533-position model. The record is from RNAcentral.
GAUGAACGCUAGCUACAGGCUUAACACAUGCAAGUCGAGGGGAAACGAUAGAGAAAGCUUGCUUUUUCUAGGCGUCGACCGGCGCACGGGUGAGUAACGCGUAUCCAACCUGCCCAUCACUUGGGGAUAACCUUGCGAAAGUAAGACUAAUACCCAAUGACGUCUCUAGAAGACAUCUGAAAGAGAUUAAAGAUUUAUCGGUGAUGGAUGGGGAUGCGUCUGAUUAGCUUGUUGGCGGGGUAACGGCCCACCAAGGCGACGAUCAGUAGGGGUGCUGAGAGGAAGGUCCCCCACAUUGGAACUGAGGCACGGUCCAAACUCCUACGGGAGGCAGCAGGGAGGAAUAUUGGUCAAUGGGCGAGAGCCUGAACCAGCCAAGUAGCGUGCAGGAUGACGGCCCUAUGGGUUGUAAACUGCUUUUAUAAGGGAAUAAAGUGAGUCUCGUGAGACUUUUUGCAUGUACCUUAUGAAUAAGGACCGGCUAAUUCCGUGCCAGCAGCCGCGGUAA